UGCGUAGUCGGUUUGACAAGUUGGUAGUGAAAUUCCAGGGCUCAACUCUGGCGCUAUUACCAAAACUGUCGAACUUGAGUGCGAGAGAGGUAAGUGGAAUUCCUAGUGUAGCGGUGGAAUGCGUAGAUAUUAGGAGGAACACCAGUGGCGAAGGCGACUUACUGGCUCGUAACUGACGAUGAGGCACGAAAGCGUGGGGAGCAAACA
This 207-nucleotide ribosomal RNA is filed under the name uncultured bacterium. RNAcentral's name for it is "partial 16S ribosomal RNA". It matches the Rfam family "Bacterial small subunit ribosomal RNA", at positions 568 to 774 of the family's 1533-position model. The record is from RNAcentral.